UGCCCAGAAGCGGGGGAUAACACCUGGAAACAGAUGCUAAUACCGCAUAACAACUUGGACCGCAUGGUCCGAGUUUGAAAGAUGGCUUCGGCUAUCACUUUUGGAUGGUCCCGCGGCGUAUUAGCUAGAUGGUGAGGUAACGGCUCAUCAUGGCAAUGAUACGUAGCCGACCUGAGAGGGUAAUCGGCCACAUUGGGACUGAGACACGGCCCAAACUCCUACGGGAGGCAGCAGUAGGGAAUCUUCCACAAUGGACGAAAGUCUGAUGGAGCAACGCCGCGUGAGUGAAGAAGGGUUUCGGCUCGUAAAACUCUGUUGUUAAAGAAGAACAUAUCUGAGAGUAACUGUUCAGGUAUUGACGGUAUUUAACCAGAAAGCCACGGCUAACUACGUGCCAGCAGCCGCGGUAAUACGUAGGUGGCAAGCGUUGUCCGGAUUUAUUGGGCGUAGAGCGAGCGCAGGCGGUUUUUUAAGUCUGAUGUGAAAAGCCUUCGGCUCAACCGAAGAAGUGCAUCGGAAAACUGGGGAACUUGAGUGCAGAAGAGGACAGUGGAACUCCAUGUGUAGCGGUGAAAUGCGUAGAUAUAUGGAAGAACACCAGUGGCGAAGGCGGCUGUUCUGGUCUGUAACUGACGCUGAAGGGCCCGAAAGUAUGGGU
Molecule: ribosomal RNA, 658 nt
Filed under: uncultured bacterium
Lineage: Bacteria
Description: bacterial SSU rRNA
Rfam family: Bacterial small subunit ribosomal RNA
Source: RNAcentral